CUGGUUUGGUUAAAAAGGGCCAACAUGGAAUUGGAGAAGAAGUCACCUAACCGGGUUAUCACGGGUUAACCGGGGUUGGUGUCAGGGAGAGUGCACAAAGAUGGAGUACUAGGUGGACGUAUGGUCAGGGAACCAAAGCCUACUAUGUCACAACUCCUUCGCAUUGGUUGUCAUGGACAACCAGAUCUA
Molecule: long non-coding RNA, 189 nt
Organism: Lolium rigidum
Lineage: Eukaryota; Viridiplantae; Streptophyta; Magnoliopsida; Poales; Poaceae
Exons: 2
Source: RefSeq, a predicted model, not a curated record